AGCGAACGCUGGCGGCGUACUUAACACAUGCAAGUCGAACGGGGAUCAUCGGGUUAGCAAUAACUCGGUGGUCCUAGUGGCGCACGGGUGAGUAACACGUGGGUAACCUGCCCUGGAGACCGGGAUACCCCCUCGAAAGGGGGGCUAAUACCGGAUACGUUCCCUGGAUCGAGAGGUCUGGGGAGGAAAGGUGGCGAAAGCUGCCGCUCUUGGAGGGGCUCGCGGCCUAUCAGCUAGUUGGCGGGGAACGGCCCACCAAGGCUAUGACGGGUAGCUGGUCUGAGAGGACGACCAGCCACACGGGGACUGAGACACGGCCCCGACUCCUACGGGAGGCAGCAGUGGGGAAUUUUCCGCAAUGGGCGAAAGCCUGACGGAGUGACGCCGCGUGUGGGACGAAGGCCUUCGGGUCGU
RNAcentral lists this ribosomal RNA (414 nucleotides) under uncultured bacterium. RNAcentral describes it as "bacterial SSU rRNA". It matches the Rfam family "Bacterial small subunit ribosomal RNA", at positions 28 to 426 of the family's 1533-position model. The record is from RNAcentral.